GGGGCUAUAGCUCAGCUGGGAGAGCGCCUGCUUUGCACGCAGGAGGUCUGCGGUUCGAAAUAGCUCCACCA
RNAcentral lists this transfer RNA (71 nucleotides) under Escherichia coli. RNAcentral describes it as "tRNA-Ala". It matches the Rfam family "tRNA". From Rfam's summary of the family: Transfer RNA (tRNA) molecules are approximately 80 nucleotides in length. Their secondary structure includes four short double-helical elements and three loops (D, anti-codon, and T loops). Lineage: Bacteria; Pseudomonadati; Pseudomonadota; Gammaproteobacteria; Enterobacterales; Enterobacteriaceae. The record is from RNAcentral.